CACAACAAUCCAUAUAACCAUCAUAGCCGCGGCCAUCAACAACACCAGCGAACCGAUCACCUAGAGUGCCAUCCGUGUGGGGCCCUUAGCAACGUCUGCGAGUGCCCCCCGCCAAUACAUCUCCCCACAAUUCAGCAGUCGAGCACGCACCAGCACACAUCCACACACACAGACAUACACGCACAACGACACACAGACAGACACGUCACCUACGACAGCUCGUUGCCCUUUCCCGUUUCGAGGCUCUAACGAGCACUGAUUUCAGCGACGAAGCAAGGACCUCCUCCCUCCCUGUUGUUUUGUUCUCGUGCGGCUGCUUGUUUCUUACUCUGCCAUUGAACUCAUUUUGUUUUUGUCUUUGUUUCGUUGUUUGGACAGCUUCCUUUUCUCUCUUUUGGUGCGCGCGCAUAUGUACGUUUCGGGUUGCCUUAUAUUACACCUCUCGAUUUAACUCUGCCGUCUCACGUUCUCCCGCCUUAGCAGUGUGCGCGUGUGCGCCCACUCCGCUUGUGCCCCUCCCCUUUCUUUGUGCGCCCUUUAUUAUUCUUCAUCUCCCGCUAACUCUCUUUUUCUCUCGCUCUCGCUCUCUCUGUUUGCGUCUUGGGUCUGUGAUAACAGUUGUGCUGGCGACGUGACGUUUUUUUUUGAUCUUCGACCUGGUUUUUUUUUUGCCUUAUUUAAGCAGUGGUCGUUUCUGUCAGCCCCUUCUCUGUUGUCUUCGCGUCCCGUGGUGCAGCCCCUCUCGCUGUCUUCUCUUCUGCCCUGCCAGCGCCCUCCUGACCUUGUGAACACACGCACCAAUUUCACCUCGGCGAAAACGUCGUGCUCGAGCCCCCACAGCAGCGCCGCACAGGCGCCGUCAUCUUCGCCGGCGGUAACCCCAACUUUCAGCAGUGAGUCAUUGCUACGCUCAAUGACUCCCUCUCUCGCCGCGAGUGCAAUGACGAGUCACGUGACAGUGCACGAUGUGGACGGCGAUGAAGAUAUUGAGACCGACCUCGUGCCGUGGUACAAGCAGCCGCUACCCUUGGGUACGCAGGUGAUGCGGUUCAUACUUUUGCUGCUGCUCACGGUGAUGUUCCUCGGCGUGGCUAUUCUCGUCGCGAACGCACGUAUGCCGGACCCCAAGAAGGUGCGCCCGCUGCCCGAUCUGCUUCUCGAGUGGAUUCCGAAGGUGACGCUUGUCGAGAAUGGCAGCAACGUCAUCAUCUUUCUGCUGAACGCUACGACGGUGGUGGUGGGCUUCAAGGUCUUUUUGCUGGAGCGACACAUGAAUGGACUGCCCAGCGUUACCUUCUUGGUGGGUAUCCCGAAGAUCGGCUCCUUUCUAAACCGCAUCGCGUUUGGCGUUGUCGACUCGGGGCGGCGUCCCUUCCCGCUGAAGAAUGUCUUCCCAAUUAUGACCAUUCGCUUCCUGACGUCGUACGCCGUGGUGAUGGUGUUCCGCACAUUUGUAAUCAUGGGGACGUCGUACCCGGCAACCGACAACCACUGUCAGAAUCCGCAAGUGAUCGAGCACCCAGUACUCAACGUUAUCCUUACCCUCGUCACACUAAGCAGUGGUGCGAUCCACUGCGGCGAUCUGAUGUUCAGCGGGCACACGAUGAUCCUCAGCCUCGCCUUCAUUCUAGCGUGGGACUACAGCCCUUUUCUGCACCCGUGGGCGGUGCGUGUGUGGGUGUCCGCGCUUCUGCCCAUCAGCUAUUACUGUAUCCUUGCCUCUCGCUCCCACUACACGGAUGACAUCCUGGUGGCGAUGUACGUGAUGAUCGCGACGUAUAAGCUCAUCGAUCAUGCAGAGACUGGCGCGCCGUGGCAGAUGCAGCUGCUGAUUCGCUGGAUGCCAUGGCCAGGCGCCAACGCGAUCGAGGAGAAAUGGGCGGCUGAAGAGGUUGUAGUUGUUGUUCAAACGCCUGCAGAAGACUCGACUGAUGCGUCGGCGGCUGUGCCUGAGCACGAAAACCCCAUCAAGGAGACGCUUCCUGCGCAAACGGCAACGGGCGGUUCUAGUAGUAGCGGUACACCCCUGUUGAGGAUGCACGACUCACCAACCAUCGAACAUCUGCACUCUGGUGUGCGCGAGACGACACAAGGGUGACACAGGACCUCGUCGCCCUAUGCACGGUGCCGCUCUCCCGUCAUUUGUUGAUCUGUGCUUGCAAAGGUCGGUGAAAGACUGUGCACAGCUCGAUGGCUCUGAUGCUCACGGCGGCGAAUGCACACGAGGCCUAACCUAAGCACCGGCUCUUGAGUUUCUUUGUUGUGUUGCGCGCAGAAGUUUAUUUCCCAUUGACACCGCCGCCUUCCCUCUCUCUCCCUUUUCCAUGCGCAUGCGUAUUUUUCUGUGUCGUCUGAGCGGAUCUUUGCCUUCUGUUGUUUCUAUGUUUAUUUUUCGUUGUUUGAUGCUUUUGUUUUUGUUCUUCUUCGUUGUUCCCGCUGUUGAUGUUUUUGCACUAUUCCACCCGGGACCCCUCGAUUCUCUGCUGCUCUAGCCGUUCCACAAGUGCCACGCGACUGCUAGAGGCGCCUCAGAGAGAGAGAGAGUGAGGGAUUUGGGCACCUCGAAGGCACACCUGCAUGUAUUUAGGUGUAUCUGUGUACCGACGUGGAGCGUCGGUGUGAAGCAGGUCGUGCUGAAUUGCAAUAAAAAAGAAACGGCAGUAAAAGUAGAAGCUCGUAAUCUUUAUUUGUGACUGCUGGCGGGUACCUCUCAACCGACAAAGGAAAUGCCCUAUGCAGCGACAGACUAUCCCUGGCAUACGCAUGGACCUGAGUGAGCCGUGUUGCCCAUGCUUUCUCUCUAUUCCCUUUCCUCAAUGAAUUUCCAGAUUGGCAUGGCACAGAGGGACAGAUAACUCUCCUUCCUUUUCGGUGAAUUCGAAUGAAAACCUUUUCUGUGCCUGAAUAAGGGGGAUGUUUUCUUAACCAUCUUGCUCCAAAACC
This 2943-nucleotide unclassified non-coding RNA is filed under the name Leishmania donovani. RNAcentral describes it as "gene:LdHU3.35.6600(CDS-product:sphingomyelin/cera mide_phosphorylethanolamine_synthase_bifunctional)". The record is from RNAcentral. Lineage: Eukaryota; Euglenozoa; Kinetoplastea; Trypanosomatida; Trypanosomatidae.